This 643-nucleotide ribosomal RNA is filed under the name uncultured Actinomycetes bacterium. Its description in RNAcentral is "bacterial SSU rRNA". It matches the Rfam family "Bacterial small subunit ribosomal RNA", at positions 232 to 885 of the family's 1533-position model. The record is from RNAcentral. Lineage: Bacteria; Bacillati; Actinomycetota; Actinomycetes.
CGCGGCCUAUCAGCUUGUUGGUGAGGUAGUGGCUCACCAAGGCGACGACGGGUAGCCGGCCUGAGAGGGCGACCGGCCACACUGGGACUGAGACACGGCCCAGACUCCUACGGGAGGCAGCAGUGGGGAAUAUUGCACAAUGGGCGAAAGCCUGAUGCAGCGACGCCGCGUGAGGGAUGACGGCCUUCGGGUUGUAAACCUCUUUCAGCAGGGAAGAAGCGCAAGUGACGGUACCUGCAGAAGAAGCGCCGGCUAACUACGUGCCAGCAGCCGCGGUAAUACGUAGGGCGCAAGCGUUGUCCGGAAUUAUUGGGCGUAAAGAGCUCGUAGGCGGUCUGUCGCGUCGGAUGUGAAAGCCCGGGGCUUAACCCCGGGUCUGCAUUCGAUACGGGCAGACUAGAGUGUGGUAGGGGAGAUCGGAAUUCCUGGUGUAGCGGUGAAAUGCGCAGAUAUCAGGAGGAACACCGGUGGCGAAGGCGGAUCUCUGGGCCAUUACUGACGCUGAGGAGCGGAAGCGUGGGGGGCGAACAGGAUUAGAUACCCUGGUAGUCCACGCCGUAAACGGUGGGAACUAGGUGUUGGCGACAUUCCACGUCGUCGGUGCCGCAGCUAACGCAUUAAGCUCCCCGCCUGGGGAGUACGG